This 378-nucleotide ribosomal RNA is filed under the name uncultured bacterium. RNAcentral describes it as "bacterial SSU rRNA". It matches the Rfam family "Bacterial small subunit ribosomal RNA", at positions 523 to 898 of the family's 1533-position model. The record is from RNAcentral.
AUACGGAGGUUGCAAGCGUUGUUCGGAAUUACUGGGCGUAAAGGGAGCGCAGGCGGCUUGGCAAGUCUGAAGUGAAAGCCCGGAGCUCAACUCCGGAAGGGCUUUGGAUACUACCAAGCUUGAGUACGUGAGAGGAGAGCGGAAUUCCAGGUGUAGCGGUGAAAUGCGUAGAUAUCUGGAGGAACACCGGUGGCGCAAGCGGCUCUCUGGCGCGAUACUGACGCUGAGGCUCGAAAGCGUGGGGAGCAAACGGGAUUAGAUACCCCGGUAGUCCACGCUGUAAACGUUGUGCACUAGGUAUGGGAGGUAAUCGACCCCUUCCGUGCCGCAGCUAACGCACUAAGUGCACCGCCUGGGGAGUACGGUCGCAAGGCUGAA